UAGAGUUUGAUCCUGGCUCAGGACGAACGCUGGCGGCGUGCUUAACACAUGCAAGUCGAGCGGAAAGGCCCUUCGGGGUACUCGAGCGGCGAACGGGUGAGUAACACGUGAGGAACCUGCCCUUGGCUCUGGGAUAGCUUCGGGAAACCGGAAUUAAUACUGGAUAUGACUGCGGCUCGCAUGGGCUGUGGUGGAAAGAUUUUUCGGCUAGGGAUGGUCUCGCGGCCUAUCAGCUUGUUGGUGGGGUAAUGGCCUACCAAGGCGACGACGGGUAGCCGGCCUGAGAGGGCGACCGGCCACACUGGGACUGAGACACGGCCCAAACUCCUACGGGAGGCAGCAGUAGGGAAUCUUCCGCAAUGGACGAAAGUCUGACGGAGCAACGCCGCGUGAGUGAUGAAGGUUCUCGGAUCGUAAAGCUCUGUUGCCAGGGAAGAACAGCCGGAAGAGUAACUGCUUUCGGAAUGACGGUACCUGAGAAGAAAGCCCCGGCUAACUACGUGCCAGCAGCCGCGGUAAUACGUAGGGGGCAAGCGUUGUCCGGAAUUAUUGGGCGUAAAGCGCGCGCAGGCGGCUUUGUAAGUUUGGUGUUUAAUCUCAGAGCUCAACUCUGAUUCGCAUCGAAAACUGCAAGGCUUGAGUACAGAAGAGGAAAGUGGAUUUCCACGUGUACCGGUGAAAUGCGUAGAUAUCGAAAGGAACACCAGUGGCAAAGGCGAGUCCCUUGACCGGGCCUGACGCUUAGGCACCAAAACCUGGGGAACAACCGGAUUAAAUCCCCGGUAAUCCCUACCGUAAGGGUGCGUAUUUUUGUAAAAGGAACAACCCCUUUUUUCCGUUACAACGCCUUAAUACCCCGCUGGGA
Molecule: ribosomal RNA, 865 nt
Filed under: uncultured Caryophanales bacterium
Lineage: Bacteria; Bacillati; Bacillota; Bacilli; Caryophanales
Description: bacterial SSU rRNA
Rfam family: Bacterial small subunit ribosomal RNA
Source: RNAcentral